Molecule: ribosomal RNA, 253 nt
Filed under: uncultured bacterium
Lineage: Bacteria
Description: partial 16S ribosomal RNA
Rfam family: Bacterial small subunit ribosomal RNA
Source: RNAcentral
UACGUAGGAGGCAAGCGUUGUCCGGAAUUACUGGGCGUAAAGCGCGUGUAGGUGGUGGGACAAGUCUGCUGUGAAAGCGCCUGGCUUAACCGGGCAAGGUCGGCGGAAACUGUCCGACUCGAGGACGGUAGAGGGGGGUGGAAUUCCCGGUGUAGUGGUGAAAUGCGUAGAGAUCGGGAGGAACACCUGUGGCGAAGGCGGCCCCCUGGGCCGGCCCUGACACUGAGACGCGAAGGCGUGGGGAGCGAACGGG